Non-coding RNA from Lentinus tigrinus ALCF2SS1-7, 82 nucleotides. Lineage: Eukaryota; Fungi; Basidiomycota; Agaricomycetes; Polyporales; Polyporaceae. The record is from the annotation of a GenBank genome assembly.
GUCCUUGUCGAUUAGUGGUUAGAUCAUCACGUUGUGGAUUCACAAGACCGUGAAGGCGGAGGCUCGAAUCCUCCCUGGGACA